GCUCGCUUCGGCAGCGCAUAUACUAAAAUUGGAACAAUACAGAGAAGGUUAGCAUGGCCUCUGCACAAGGAUGGCACACAAAUUCCUAAAGCCUCCCCACCCCCGC
Eptesicus fuscus (big brown bat) is the source of this 106-nucleotide small nuclear RNA. The record is from RefSeq and is a predicted model, not a curated record. Lineage: Eukaryota; Metazoa; Chordata; Mammalia; Chiroptera; Vespertilionidae.